This 490-nucleotide ribosomal RNA is filed under the name uncultured bacterium. RNAcentral describes it as "partial 16S ribosomal RNA". It matches the Rfam family "Bacterial small subunit ribosomal RNA", at positions 29 to 507 of the family's 1533-position model. The record is from RNAcentral.
AGUGAACGCUGGCGGUAGGCCUAACACAUGCAAGUCGAACGGCAGCACAGGAGAGCUUGCUCUCUGGGUGGCGAGUGGCGGACGGGUGAGGAAUACAUCGGAAUCUGCCCAGUCGUGGGGGAUAGCGUAGGGAAACUUACGCUAAUACCGCAUACGACCUUCGGGUGAAAGAGGGGGAUCGCAAGACCUCUCGCGAUUGGAUGAGCCGAUGUCGGAUUAGCUAGUUGGCGGGGUAAUGGCCCACCAAGGCGACGAUCCGUAGCUGGUCUGAGAGGAUGAUCAGCCACACUGGAACUGAGACACGGUCCAGACUCCUAAGGGAGGCAGCAGUGGGGAAUAUUGGACAAUGGGCGCAAGCCUGAUCCAGCCAUACCGCGUGGGUGAAGAAGGCCUUCGGGUUGUAAAGCCCUUUUGUUGGGAAAGAAAUCGUUCAGGCUAAUACCCUGGGAGGAUGACGGUACCCAAAGAAUAAGCACCGGCUAACUUCGUG